UACGGAGGGUGCAAACGUUGUUCGGAAUCAUUGGGCGUAAAGGGCUCGCAGGCUGUCUGGCAGGUCGGGUGUGAAAUCCCGGGGCUCAACCCCGGAAUUGCGCUCGAAACCUUCAGACUUGAGUUACUGAGGGAGAGGUAGAAUUCCUGGUGUAGAGGUGAAAUUCGUAGAUAUCAGGAGGAAUACCGGUGGCGAAGGCG
RNAcentral lists this ribosomal RNA (200 nucleotides) under uncultured bacterium. RNAcentral's name for it is "partial 16S ribosomal RNA". It matches the Rfam family "Bacterial small subunit ribosomal RNA", at positions 524 to 723 of the family's 1533-position model. The record is from RNAcentral.